Molecule: ribosomal RNA, 397 nt
Filed under: uncultured bacterium
Lineage: Bacteria
Description: bacterial SSU rRNA
Rfam family: Bacterial small subunit ribosomal RNA
Source: RNAcentral
AACGAACGCUGGCGGCGCGCCUAAUACAUGCAAGUCGAGCGAGAAGACGUAGCAAUACGUUUGUAAAGCGGCGAACGGGUGAGGAAUACAUGGGUAACCUACCCUUGAGUGGGGAAUAACUAGCCGAAAGGUUAGCUAAUACCGCGUACGCUCCUUGGACUUCGGUUCAGGGAGGAAAGCGAUACCGUGGGUAUCACGCUCUUGGAUGGGCUCAUGUCCUAUCAGCUUGUUGGUGAGGAACGGCUCACCAAGGCUUCGACGGGUAGCUGGUCUGAGAGGACGAUCAGCCACACUGGCACUGCGACACGGGCCAGACUCCUACGGGAGGCAGCAGUGGGGAAUCUUGCGCAAUGGGCGAAAGCCUGACGCAGCGACGCCGCGUGAGGGAUGACGGCCU